This 76-nucleotide small RNA is filed under the name Xanthomonas vasicola. RNAcentral describes it as "sX9 sRNA". It matches the Rfam family "Xanthomonas sRNA sX9". Lineage: Bacteria; Pseudomonadati; Pseudomonadota; Gammaproteobacteria; Lysobacterales; Lysobacteraceae. RNAcentral also lists the same sequence under 4 other names. The record is from RNAcentral.
AUGUACCACUCGUACACUCCGGUUCCUGCGCGCCGUCCGCGCCCACCUGACAGCUGCUCGCUACGUUUUGUUAGCC